RNAcentral lists this ribosomal RNA (253 nucleotides) under uncultured bacterium. RNAcentral describes it as "partial 16S ribosomal RNA". It matches the Rfam family "Bacterial small subunit ribosomal RNA", at positions 524 to 776 of the family's 1533-position model. The record is from RNAcentral.
GACAGAGGUGCCGAGCGUUAGGCGGAAUCACUGGGCUUAAAGCGUGUGUAGGCGGGUCCGUAAGUACCUUGUGAAAUCCCACGGCUCAACCGUGGAACUGCUCGGUAUACUGCGGGUCUUGAGCUGUCUAGGGGCGACCGGAACAAGCGGUGGAGCGGUGAAAUGCGUAGAUAUCGGAAGGAACACCAGUGGCGAAAGCGGCUUCCUGGUCCAGCACCGACGUUCAGGCACGAAAGCGUGGGGAGCAAACAGG